RNAcentral lists this ribosomal RNA (477 nucleotides) under uncultured Cytophagales bacterium. Its description in RNAcentral is "bacterial SSU rRNA". It matches the Rfam family "Bacterial small subunit ribosomal RNA", at positions 100 to 576 of the family's 1533-position model. Lineage: Bacteria; Pseudomonadati; Bacteroidota; Sphingobacteriia; Sphingobacteriales. The record is from RNAcentral.
GCACGGGUGCGUAACGCGUAUACGAUCUACCUAUUACAGGGGGAUAGCCCAGAGAAAUUUGGAUUAAUACCCCAUGGUAUUAUUAGAUGGCAUCAUUUAGUAAUUAAAACUACGGUGGUAAUAGAUGAGUAUGCGUCCUAUUAGUUAGUUGGUAAGGUAAUGGCUUACCAAGGCAUCGAUAGGUAGGGGUCCUGAGAGGGAGAUCCCCCACACUGGUACUGAGACACGGACCAGACUCCUACGGGAGGCAGCAGUGAGGAAUAUUGGGCAAUGGACGAGAGUCUGACCCAGCCAUGUCGCGUGCAGGAAGACGGCUUUAUGAGUUGUAAACUGCUUUUAUACAGGAAGAAACCAACCGCCGUGUUGGUGGCUGACGGCACUGUACCAAUAAAGACCGGCUAACUCCCUGUCAGCAGCCUCGGUAAUACCGAGGUCUAAGCGUUAUCCCGAAUCCUUGGGUUUAAAGGGUCCGUAGGC